Molecule: ribosomal RNA, 240 nt
Filed under: uncultured bacterium
Lineage: Bacteria
Description: partial 16S ribosomal RNA
Rfam family: Bacterial small subunit ribosomal RNA
Source: RNAcentral
CCGACGGGUGAGUAACACGUAUGCAAUCCACCUGUAACAGGGGGAGUAACCCGGAGAAAUCCGGACUAAUACCCCAUAAUAUGGGCGCUCCGCAUGGAGAGCCCAUUAAAGAGAGCAAUUUUGGUUACAGACGAGCAUGCGCUCCAUUAGCCAGUUGGCGGGGUAACGGCCCACCAAAGCGACGAUGGAUAGGGGUUCUGAGAGGAAGGUCCCCCACAUUGGAACUGAGACACGGUCCAA